This 469-nucleotide ribosomal RNA is filed under the name uncultured bacterium. Its description in RNAcentral is "bacterial SSU rRNA". It matches the Rfam family "Bacterial small subunit ribosomal RNA", at positions 28 to 526 of the family's 1533-position model. The record is from RNAcentral.
GAUAAACGCUGGCGGCGUGCAUGAGACAUGCAAGUCGAACGAACGAGCUUGCUCGUUAGUGGCGGACGGCUGAGUAACGCGUAGGUGACCUGCCCCGAAGUGGGGGAUAACUGCCCGAAAGGGUGGCUAAUACCGCAUGUGGCGACACUUUCAUUGGUGUCAUCAAAGCCGCGAGGCGCUUCGGGAGGGGCCUGCGUCCGAUUAGCUCGUUGGUGGGGUAAUGGCUCACCAAGGCGACGAUCGGUAGGUGGUCUGAGAGGACGAUCACCCAGACUGGGACUGAGACACGGCCCAGACUCCUACGGGAGGCAGCAGUCGGGAAUUUUGCUCAAUGGGCGCAAGCCUGAAGCAGCAACGCCGCGUGCGGGAUGACGGCCUUCGGGUUGUAAACCGCUUUUACCAGGGACGAUAAUGACGGUACCUGAUGAAUAAGUCACGGCUAACUACGUGCCAGCCGCCGCCGUAACAC